RNAcentral lists this long non-coding RNA (5762 nucleotides) under Sus scrofa (pig). RNAcentral's name for it is "lncRNA (ENSSSCG00000053973.1)". The record is from RNAcentral. Lineage: Eukaryota; Metazoa; Chordata; Mammalia; Artiodactyla; Suidae.
GCUGCUUUCCUUCUCCUUCUCUUGUGUCCUCGUUGUCUCCUCUUGGGAGCAGCAUUGCUGAUAGGCAGGUGGAAGUCCAUUUUCUCUCCAUCUGCUUCACAAACUUAUUUUAAUGACUUGGCUGCCUUACUCCCUUUUCUCUUUAUUCAGGGCUAUUUUCACCCUAUUUCACCCUCUUGACCACUCAAGAAUCAAAUAAUUUAGGCCCAAAGAGCUAUACUUUCUUCCCUCUUCUGGUCCAGGUUAAGACUGAAAUCUAUGUAAUUCUGCAAGAGUUAAACAAAAGAGAGGAGUAACUAGGUCAUUUCCUUACCCUGAGAGUAACUCUUCAUUAUGUAGAUUGUUUCUCACCAUUGGAAUGUCUCUGCCCUCCUCCCAGUUCACCAAAGUCCCUUCCAUCCCACGAAGCACGUCUCCAUCCUCUUUUACUCUCCCAGGAAGCCAACACCAAUGUCUUUCCUCUUCCUUAUGCUUCAUAGAACUUCUUGCCAAGUCACACACUUUUACUACAUUUCAGCCUUCUCAACUUGCUCCACGUGUAAAUACUACUUCCUCAUUGAGACCAUGAGUUCUCAGAGAUGAGAGCAUUGCCCUAUAAAUCUUAAUACACCUUGUGGUUCAACGUGUGUAGUAAAAACUCAGUGACCAAAAGGGUUGAAUUCUUUACAUUAACAAAGAGACCCAAUGCUUCUAAAAUAACUUAGAGGCUUGUCUCUUUGUCUUCAAUUUUCCAGUUAAUUUUCUAAAGUGAAAAUCCCUAAAUAUUCAUUGAGUAUAAAGCACGACAGAAGCAAUGAACACAUGCAAAGUAUCACACCCCAAAUCUAAUUGUUGAAGGAAUUCUACAUUCUUUCAGCUGAUGUGUGCUAAACGUUUCCUGUGUUCGGGUACGUGGUUGCUUGGGAAGAAAGUUGAAAGAAGACACAUUUCCUGGGCUCCAGGAAUGCAAAUGAGACACUAGCAAUGUAGAAUCAAGGAAUGACUAGAUUCAUGUGUUUUCAGGAAUGAAGAGAAUAGUAAAUAAAAGAAAAAGUUAGAGAAGGCUAACGAGGAUUUGCCCAUUUCAUCCUAAUCAUUAUCAUCAGUUCAUCCUUAAUUUUGUGGCAAAAGUAUGCAAAAACAUUGUGUUACUACAGUGAGUUAAAGUAUACAUAACAGAACACCAAAAACAUGUAUCUUCGUGGGUUUAAGUAAGAAAAAUCAGAAUUUAGAUUAUUAUAUACUGACUAACCGGGUGGCACUGAUGGGUAGGGGAUCAAGCGUGCUUAUUAACAGUAUCAUUUAAAUAUCAGCUUGACACAUUGAGAGGAAAAGUAAUUGCAUAUAGCCGAGACAAUUUUCAUGGCUGAAAAACACAUUAUAUUGCCUUUAUCUCUGAGCUGAUUUGCUUUAUAUGUUUCACUAAAACUGAAUCAUAAGAAGCCAAUGGAAACAAAGUAGAAUGGAGCAUGUUAUUCUGCCUUUUAUUCCUUUGGGAAUAAGCUCAGUUCUGAAUAUACUGAUGAAAGCCGUCUGGCCCUGUUUCUGCUGAGAAUCAACACCAAUAUGUUGAUGGAGUCUGUAGUCUCUGCCCCAUGGAUUGACAUCUGGUGGAAAGUAAAAGGCCACAAUCUCAAAAUCUAGGUGGGAAAAAAAAUGCUAGAAAUGCUAAUUACUCUCUAUCCUGCUUACUUUAAUAUGUUCAUUUUAUUAAAACCUUGGAGAAGAGCAGUACAACUUAAAAACCAAUGAGCGUUCAAGACUACGUUAUAAGAACACACACAGUUCUACACUAUUCCAUCCACCUGGAAGGGUCUUCCCUCACCUCUUUAACCACACAACCACUCACUUUGAACAAAUGUCACUUCUUCAGAAAGUAUCCAAGAUCACCUUACCUGCUCCUAACACUCCUUGACUCUUCAUUAGGCUUCCAGGCAAUAUAAUCUAUGUUUGUGUUGCCAUAAUAACCAACCCCCCAAAUAUCAGUGGCUUAAAAAAAUUUGGUCACUUACAAAAAAAUCCACUGCCUGCUUGGGCAACUCUCAUAGGCAGUCCUCCCCAAUGAGUCCUUAUCGGUGGGAGCCAACACACUUGCCAUGGAGAGGUGAAAGUGAGGAGAGUUGAGGCCAGCAAAUAAAUGCUUCCACCCAGAAAUGACAGAGAUCACUUCCACUCACACUUCAUUGCUCAAACCAACUAAAGCACAAGUAGGUAUAAAGUACCAUCCUGAGUCCAAGGGCACAGAGUAAUGUCUGAUGCAUCUGCUUUAUUUACAACACCUCUCACCGAACAUCAUGUAUUUUCGUGAUUAUUUAUCUCUCUUUACUAGACUAUGAGCACAGUGAGGACAUGGACCAGGUCUGUUUGUUCACAUAUACUUUCAGAUCUUAGAAUCUCAACAAAUAUUUGUUGGAUGAACAAAUAAGAAUCCAAGAAAUUAUAGCUUUAUACCAUAAAUUACAAGCUCAUACGCCUAAAGAACCUAACCCUUUAUAUAACAAGGGAAGCAAACAAGAUUGGAACUGUGGGAGUUUCCAUUGUGGCUCAGCAGAACAAAUCCAACUAGUAUGCACGAGGAUGUGGGUUUGAUCCCUGGCCUCACUCAGUGGGUCAGGGAUCCAGUGUUGCCAAGAGCUGUGGUGUAGGUCGCAGAUGUGGCUUGGAUCCCAAGUUGCUGUGGCUGUAAUGUAGCCAGCACCUGUAACUCUGAUUCAACCCCUAGCUUGGGAACUUCCAUGUGUGGCAGGUGCAGUCCUAAAAAGCAAAAUUAAUUAAUUAAUUAAUUAAUUAAAAUAGAUUGGACCUGUGGUGAACUUUUGCCACUGCCUAAAUCUUGCCAGAUGUUGCCUUGAUGGGCAAUAGGUCUAGGGUAGCCAAAUUCUCUAAUUUCUCAGAAGUAGAAAAUCAGGACUUUUAGGUGAAAUUCCUAAUUUUUUCAUCAUAUUACUCAAAAGUUUUAAAAACGAUCUGCAGGUCAUACCCAGCAAACAUGAUGUCAGCCUGUGUCUUUCACUUUAAGUGGAAAGACCAAAAAUGUGUGUCUUGACAUUGACCAAGUUUGAGUUAAAGGGAGAAAGAAAGAGAAGAGAGAGGAAGAAUGGAAUCUCCACAUCCAUUUCACCAUCACCUAAACUGCAAUUGUGAGGAAUCUCUGCCCUUGGUCUUCACCCCUCCUCCCUGCCCUCUUUACCCAGGAAAUAGAAAAAUACCUCUUGUUAUUCAUAGCACCAGUUCCUUUAUGUAUUAUCCAGUCCUCUUGUGAAAGUUAAGAAGGGAUCAGCUCUGCCUUCACUGAUGCUAUUGUGUGUCUUACAUAACAAUAUCUAAAUAAAUAAGAAGCCCUGGGGAAAGGUCUUCCAAGGUUAACAUAUUUAGAAUAAAGAACUGUUGUGAUGAACAUGGCACUGGCAGAAUAGAAGAUCUAAUAUCUACUUCAUAUAACAGAUGAGGUCUAAACCAGGAACUCUUCUCAGUAACCAAUAAUUUGACCUGAUUACAUAAUGAGUGUUUCUUUUUCUUUGCCCUAAAGUUGAACUUUGUAUAUAGAGGGACUGCCAAACACAUUUUCACUGUAAAGAAAUGUUGUUUUUCAAUUGUAUCACCCAAGAGGCUUAAAUUCAGAUGAAAAUGUUCAAAAAUCAAAUUUCUGUAUUUCUUUGGAGUUAUUGUGGCAUGGUUUAGCAAGAAGCAUCUACUUUUUUUUCCAGAGGGAAAUCUCUCUGAGCAAGCUCAGUCAAACUUUACAUAUAAUUGUUCAUUUUGGUGAACCUAAGCCCAUACUUGGGACUUUUCCAGCUGUAGAGUCAAUGAAAAACGCCCCUGGACUCUCCAGUCAGGGACACAGUCCUGGAUUCUGGGCAAUCUGCUUUUCUAGGAAGCAGUUGAAUUAAAACUAGCCUGCCCCUCCUCCCAUGCAGAGAAUUCCUGCCACUAUGUGCCUGACUGUUCAAAUAUCCCCACAUGCUCUCUUCCCUGCAUAGAGCUGCCGUUUCAGAUCCCUGCUGCUAUGUCUGUCAGAUUCUGGUUUAAUUCUAGGAUAAUCAGAGAAAUAAAUAUUCAGUACUUCUUUCACUGCCCAGUCCUAUCCUCCGGUUGAAAUCCUUGUAAGAAAUAGACUUCUGGUGGAUUUUUGAUGUAUUUUAGCCUUCUCAUUAGGCUACCUUGCUCAGCAAUGGACACCAUGAGUUUGACUAGGGCCUUGAAAUAAAUAAGGUCACCAGCCUAUAGUUUUUUAAAAUGAAAUUAUCAAGACUGAAAUUGAAAAUCUUGUUAUUACAGGGGUAAAAGAAAUUUGAACGAUCUCUGGAGAUAGUUCGUGGGCAAAAUACAACUACUUUCAUAGAAUUCUACCAAAGCAUCCAUUUUAGAAAUUUGAACGUUGACUCGAUUCUGAAAUAAUUAACACCAUGACCUUGCCAAAAGAAUGUUCUUCAAGGUGGCCACUUAUUUAGCAUACAAAACACAGUUUUGGUCAAUAUGGAAUUUUAAAGCUUAUGCUUUGAUAUUACUUUUGCACAUACACAAUUAUAGCCUAACAAACAGGCAAGGAAUGUCUCUGGGUUGGUGACUGAAUUUUAAAUAUCUCCUAAAUUGGUUCAGAAUUAAAAGAUCCUAGAAGGCUAUGUGAAAGCAGGUACAAAACUCCUAAAUAGGAAUAAGGCAGUGAUGGUGGAAUGAGGGAAGAAAUAACUUUAGUAUGAGAAAAACUUAUAAACCGAAGCACUCAAAUACACAAAGAAAUAAAAUACAGAGAAAGACCCCCCCACAAAAGCAACUAUUGACACGUUAGUUCAAUAGCAAAAAGAUUAAAAUAUUAGAAUAGUGGAAAAAAAGUUCUGAAAAUGAGUGUGCUUAGCUUCUUCAAAAUGAUAAAAUAUGGGGAAAAUUCAAAAAUAACAAGAAAUAACGAAGCAAAAGAGGAAGAAAUAAGACAAUAGAUGGAUGAGAAAAAGAACCAAUUAGAAAUCUUGCAAAUGAAAUACAUAGUUAAGACUGAAGACAAUUCCAUAGAUAAGACAAAUAGGUUUAUACACAGGUGAACAGUUUGUGGACUGGAAGGUUGUCCUAAGAAAUUCACCAGGAAUGAAAUACAAAGGAACCAGCAUGUCAGAAUUAUGAAAGGAAAGUUAAAGACAGGGAGUGUAGAUUGAGUGGCUCCACCAUAUUUUAAACAGAAGUUCUACAGGAAGUGAUAUAGGAAAUAGCAGAACCCUGUUAGAAUAAAUAAGAUGGGAAUAUACCCAGAUUUAAUUACUUGUCCUUAGAUCCAAAAUGCAUGUUAUACCACUCAGGAUGGCAAUAUUGAAUCUAUACCUAGACAGAAAAGUUACACUUAAAAGUAUUAAGAAUAGAAAAUCUUAGAAACUGUCAGGAAGAAAAAGAGAGAUUAUCUACAAAGGAAAAGCAAUCUGACUUGCAGACAGCAGGUGUCUAGAUAGCAACAAUAAAGCUGAAAAGUAUAGAUGUCAAAUAUAAAAGAAUAACAACUCAUAUAAAACUUGAAAUAGACUCCAUAGCUUCCAAACCAACAGAUUAGAAAAGAAUUGGGAGUCCCCAUAUGUGGGUCAGCCAGUUAAGAAUGUAACAUAGUCUCUGUGAGGAUGUGGGUUUGAUCCCUGGCCUUGCUCAGUGGGUUAAAGAUCCGGUAUUACAGCAAGCUGUGGCAUAGGUUCCAGAUCCAAGCUGUGGCUUGGAUCUGGUGUUGCUGUGGCUGUGGCUUAGGCCUCAGCUGCAACUCCAAUUUAAUCCCUAGUCUGUGAACUUCCACAUGCUGCAGGUGUGGC